UAAUCAAGUGGUGAUGGGGCUCACCAAAACCGCCCGCGAGGGAUGAUGGCUCCUGCAACGUA
Molecule: non-coding RNA, 62 nt
Filed under: Alicyclobacillus hesperidum
Lineage: Bacteria; Bacillati; Bacillota; Bacilli; Caryophanales; Alicyclobacillaceae
Description: Fluoride sequence
Rfam family: Fluoride riboswitch aptamer (crcB RNA motif)
Source: Rfam by way of RNAcentral